This is a long non-coding RNA of Lycium barbarum (goji berry), 759 nucleotides long. RefSeq lists it as uncharacterized. The record is from RefSeq and is a predicted model, not a curated record. The transcript has 4 exons. Lineage: Eukaryota; Viridiplantae; Streptophyta; Magnoliopsida; Solanales; Solanaceae.
AUUACCUUCAAUCCACAAUCAAUCCAGAAACUUCUACAAGUACAAGUAGUAGAAGCUACAAGCUUCACCCAAAACUCAAUCCAGAAAAUUUUCAGCCUCUUCACAUACAGUAAAUCAAGAAGCUUCUCAUCAAUUUAUACCACCAAAAAUAUAGUAUAAUUUUGCUCAGGCUGGUGCUGCAAUUUUCAGAUAUCAGAUACCUAAAUAGAGUUGUAGUUGAGGUUCACACAACUCGGCCAGCUCAGGCUUGAUCAUUUGGAGGAAUUUCCUCCUGAUGCUAUCCAACCUCUUGAUAAUCUCUGCUGGAAUUGGGAACAGAGACAUCAUAUAUGUUGGUAGGGCAUCAAGGACUGAGUUGAUGAGUGUCACUCUACCCCUCAAGGACAAAUAUUGGCUCUUCCAUCUGGCUAAUUUCCUCUCAGGCCAUCCAUGAAUCAUCUGGAAAAUGCUAUGGCAGGCAUGUUGCGAAUUAUCUCUGGUAUUAUCUUGCUUUGGUGAUGGUGUGAGACAACCUGAGAAGCUUAUGCUUUUCACGUUUCAGUAUCCGAGAGCAAAACUGUCACCUGUGACAGUGGUAACGACCGAACUGUCAUCCCUAACAGUGGUAACAAAACUGUCUCUAGCAUCAACAUAAAGUUGCUUAUGUGGUCCUUGAAUUACGAAGCAAGCUUAAGACGUCUAAAUGUGUUGUAUUAGAUAAUUCAACUUAUACUCUUUAGUAAAGAAGCUGAGUUAGUUCCAUUGAUUCUGUUCUGAAAA